Molecule: non-coding RNA, 303 nt
Filed under: Otolemur garnettii (small-eared galago)
Lineage: Eukaryota; Metazoa; Chordata; Mammalia; Primates; Galagidae
Source: Rfam by way of RNAcentral
GCCGGGCGUUGUGGCGGGCGCCUGUGGUCCCAGCUACUUGGGAGGCGGAGGCAGGAAACUCGCUUGAGCCCAGGAGUUGGAGGUUGCUGUGAGCUGUGAUGCCACGGCACUCUGCCCAGGGGGACAGCUUGAGGCUCUGUCUCAAAAAAAAAAAAAAAAAAAAAUUAUCAGGAAAAUGUGUUAUAAAUCUAAGUAUUAUGAUUAUUAUUAUUUUUUUUACUUUGUUACCCUUGGUAGAGUGCUGUGAUGUCACAGCUCACAGCAACCUCCAACACCUGGACUUAGGUGAUUCUCUUGCCUCAG